CCUACGGGGGGCAGCAGUGGGGAAUAUUGCACAAUGGGCGCAAGCCUGAUGCAGCCAUGCCGCGUGUGUGAAGAAGGCCUUCGGGUUGUAAAGCACUUUCAGCGGGGAGGAAGGCGGUGAGGUUAAUAACCUCAUCGAUUGACGUUACCCGCAGAAGAAGCACCGGCUAACUCCGUGCCAGCAGCCGCGGUAAUACGGGGGGUGCAAGCGUUAAUCGGAAUUACUGGGCGUAAAGCGCACGCAGGCGGUCUGUCAAGUCGGAUGUGAAAUCCCCGGGCUCAACCUGGGAACUGCAUUCGAAACUGGCAGGCUAGAGUCUUGUAGAGGGGGGUAGAAUUCCAGGUGUAGCGGUGAAAUGCGUAGAGAUCUGGAGGAAUACCGGUGGCGAAGGCGGCCCCCUGGACAAAGACUGACGCUCAGGUGCGAAAGCGUGGGGAGCAAACAGGAUUAGAUACCCUAGUAGUC
RNAcentral lists this ribosomal RNA (465 nucleotides) under uncultured Klebsiella sp. Its description in RNAcentral is "bacterial SSU rRNA". It matches the Rfam family "Bacterial small subunit ribosomal RNA", at positions 338 to 795 of the family's 1533-position model. Lineage: Bacteria; Pseudomonadati; Pseudomonadota; Gammaproteobacteria; Enterobacterales; Enterobacteriaceae. The record is from RNAcentral.